CAUAAUUAACUACAGCCGUCUCGUUCGUUACAAAAGAAGUUUAGGAGAAAUGAACUGGUUCAUGUCGGCUUUCACUCUCAGCUGUUUAACCGUGCCUAGAGUAGAUUCUCUACUUUCCAAUGACUUCAACUCUCCACUCCCAUCUCCAGUUCCAGAAAUUGAUGUUUCUUUCAACAUUAAUUGGACACUAAAGAUUAUGUUGCCAAUGGGGGCUGUUGCAACUACCCUUGCUUUCAUAGGGUGGAUUGUAUACAAAAAAUUAAUUCGGGCAUCAGGCGACGUUGAGGCUGAAAUUGAAAUGGAUGAGAAUUAAGUGAUUUUCUUUGUUUUUUUUUGCGUGUGACUAGAAUAAUUUUCUUUGCUUUAAUUUCUAUGUAUUAGACUUGAGGUGUUAGGUCUUAGUUUAUUAACCACAAAGGACCGAAUUUGAUUUUGGUCAAAAACGGUUGUAAAAUGGCUAUUAUAGUGCCACUUAAAUUAAUAAAAAAAUAUCCUAUGCUUUGAAAAUA
This is a long non-coding RNA of Trifolium pratense (red clover), 509 nucleotides long. RefSeq lists it as uncharacterized. NCBI's taxonomy places the organism in Eukaryota, Viridiplantae, Streptophyta, Magnoliopsida, Fabales, Fabaceae. The record is from RefSeq and is a predicted model, not a curated record. The transcript is spliced from 2 exons.